This 113-nucleotide ribosomal RNA is filed under the name Candidatus Woesearchaeota archaeon CG10_big_fil_rev_8_21_14_0_10_30_7. The record is from RNAcentral. Lineage: Archaea; Nanobdellati; Candidatus Woesearchaeota.
UUGGACGGUCAUAGGGGAGUGGUUCUACCUGUUCUCAUUCGAACACAGAAGUCAAGCGCUCUUCCGUAUCAGGGUGUACUCCGUUACGGGGAAAACCUGGUAAGCUGUCCACC